GGCGAACGGGUGAGUAACACGUGGGUGAUCUGCCCUGCACUUCGGGAUAAGCCUGGGAAACUGGGUCUAAUACCGGAUAUGACCAAAGGCUGCAUGGCUUUUGGUGGAAAGGUUUACUGGUGCAGGAUGGGCCCGCGGCCUAUCAGCUUGUUGGUGGGGUAAUGGCCUACCAAGGCGACGACGGGUAGCCGACCUGAGAGGGUGACCGGCCACACUGGGACUGAGACACGGCCCAGACUCCUACGGGAGGCAGCAGUGGGGAAUAUUGCACAAUGGGCGAAAGCCUGAUGCAGCGACGCCGCGUGAGGGAUGACGGCCUUCGGGUUGUAAACCUCUUUCAGCAGGGACGAAGCGAAAGUGACGGUACCUGCAGAAGAAGCACCGGCCAACUACGUGCCAGCAGCCGCGGUAAUACGUAGGGUGCGAGCGUUGUCCGGAAUUACUGGGCGUAAAGAGCUCGUAGGCGGUUUGUCGCGUCGUCUGUGAAAACCAGCAGCUCAACUGCUGGCUUGCAGGCGAUACGGGCAGACUUGAGUACUGCAGGGGAGACUGGAAUUCCUGGUGUAGCGGUGAAAUGCGCAGAUAUCAGGAGGAACACCGGUGGCGAAGGCGGGUCUCUGGGCAGUAACUGACGCUGAGGA
This 641-nucleotide ribosomal RNA is filed under the name Rhodococcus sp. I14A-00866. RNAcentral's name for it is "bacterial SSU rRNA". It matches the Rfam family "Bacterial small subunit ribosomal RNA", at positions 97 to 752 of the family's 1533-position model. Lineage: Bacteria; Bacillati; Actinomycetota; Actinomycetes; Mycobacteriales; Nocardiaceae. The record is from RNAcentral.